Molecule: ribosomal RNA, 64 nt
Filed under: Deltaproteobacteria bacterium
Lineage: Bacteria; Pseudomonadati; Myxococcota; Myxococcia
Description: partial 16S ribosomal RNA
Rfam family: Bacterial small subunit ribosomal RNA
Source: RNAcentral
UUGUUUUGAGAGUUUGAUCCUGGCUCAGAACGAACGCUGGCGGCGUGCCUAACACAUGCAAGUC